Molecule: transfer RNA, 72 nt
Filed under: Stegodyphus mimosarum
Lineage: Eukaryota; Metazoa; Arthropoda; Arachnida; Araneae; Eresidae
Rfam family: tRNA
About the family: Transfer RNA (tRNA) molecules are approximately 80 nucleotides in length. Their secondary structure includes four short double-helical elements and three loops (D, anti-codon, and T loops).
Source: Rfam by way of RNAcentral
GCCUUCGUGGUGUAAUGGUCAGCAUACUGACUCGUAUUCGAUAGGUCCGAGGUUCGAGUCUCGGCCAGGGCA